RNAcentral lists this ribosomal RNA (503 nucleotides) under uncultured bacterium. RNAcentral's name for it is "bacterial SSU rRNA". It matches the Rfam family "Bacterial small subunit ribosomal RNA", at positions 24 to 518 of the family's 1533-position model. The record is from RNAcentral.
UCAGGAUGAACGCUAGCUACAGGCUUACACAUGCAAGUCAGGGGCAGCAUGUGGUUGCUUGCAACCAAUGAUGGCGACCGGCGCACGGGUGAGUAACGCGUAUCCAACCUCCCCUUAGUAGAGGAUAGCCCGGCGAAAGUCGGAUUAAUACUCUAUGUUCUUCAAUGCGGACAUCUAAGUUGAAGCAAAGAUUUAUCGCUAAGGGAUGGGGAUGCGUCUGAUUAGGUUGCAGGCGGGGUAACGGCCCACCUGGCCUACGAUCAGUAGGGGUUCUGAGAGGAAGGUCCCCCACACUGGUACUGAGACACGGACCAGACUCCUACGGGAGGCAGCAGUGAGGAAUAUUGGUCAAUGGGCGCGAGCCUGAACCAGCCAAGUAGCGUGCAGGACGAACCUGCCCUAUGGGUUGUAAACUGCUUUUAUCAGGGAAUAAAGUGAGGCACGCGUGCCUUUUUGUAUGUACCUGAUGAAUAAGGACCGGCUAAUUCCGUGCCAGCAGCAGC